This 501-nucleotide ribosomal RNA is filed under the name uncultured bacterium. RNAcentral's name for it is "partial 16S ribosomal RNA". It matches the Rfam family "Bacterial small subunit ribosomal RNA", at positions 30 to 523 of the family's 1533-position model. The record is from RNAcentral.
AUUGAACGCUGGCGGCAGGCUUAACACAUGCAAGUCGAGCGGGGGAAGGUAGCUUGCUACCGGACCUAGCGGUGGACGGGUGAGUAAUGCUUAGGAAUCUGCCUAUUAGUGGGGGACAACAUCUCGAAAGGGAUGCUAAUACCGCAUACGUCCUACGGGAGAAAGCAGGGGAUCUUCGGACCUUGCGCUAAUAUAUGAGCCUAAGUCGGAUUAGCUAGUUGGUGGGGUAAAGGCCUACCAAGGCGACGAUCUGUAGCGGGUCUGAGAGGAUGAUCCGCCAAACUGGGACGGAGACACGGCGCAGACUCCUACGGGAGGCAGCAGUGGGGAAUAUUGGACAAUGGGGGGAACCCUGAUCCAGCCAUGCCGCGUGUGUGAAGAAGGCCUUAUGGUUGUAAAGCACUUUAAGCGAGGAGGAGGCUACUCUAGUUAAUACCUAGGGAUAGUGGACGUUACUCGCAGAAUAAGCACCGGCUAACUCUGUGCCAGCCGCCGCGGUAA